RNAcentral lists this ribosomal RNA (484 nucleotides) under uncultured bacterium. RNAcentral describes it as "partial 16S ribosomal RNA". It matches the Rfam family "Bacterial small subunit ribosomal RNA", at positions 28 to 507 of the family's 1533-position model. The record is from RNAcentral.
AUUGAACGCUGGCGGCAUGCUUUACACAUGCAAGUCGAACGGCAGCGCGGGCUUCGGCCUGGCGGCGAGUGGCGAACGGGUGAGUAAUGCAUCGGAACGUGCCCAGUAGUGGGGGAUAGCCCGGCGAAAGCCGGAUUAAUACCGCAUACGACCUGAGGGUGAAAGCGGGGGACCGAAAGGCCUCGCGCUAUUGGAGCGGCCGAUGUCGGAUUAGCUAGUUGGUGGGGUAAAGGCUUACCAAGGCGACGAUCCGUAGCUGGUCUGAGAGGACGACCAGCCACACUGGGACUGAGACACGGCCCAGACUCCUGCGGGAGGCAGCAGUGGGGAAUUUUGGACAAUGGGGGCAACCCUGAUCCAGCCAUGCCGCGUGCGGGAAGAAGGUCUUCGGGUUGUAAACCGCUUUUGUUCGGGAAGAAAUCCUCUGGGCUAAUACCCCGGGGGGAUGACGGUACCGGAAGAAUAAGCACCGGCUAACUACGUG